UACGGAGGGUGCAAGCGUUAUCCGGAUUCACUGGGUUUAAAGGGUGCGUAGGUGGGCAGGUAAGUCAGUGGUGAAAUCUCGGGGCUUAACUCCGAAACUGCAUUCGAUACUGCCGUGCUUGAGGACUGGAGAGGAGACUGGAAUUUACGGUGUAGCGGUGAAAUGCGUAGAUAUCGUAAGGAAGACCAGUGGCGAAGGCGGGCCUCUGGACAGUUCCUGACGCUGAGGCACGAAGGCCAGGGGAGCAAACGGG
This 253-nucleotide ribosomal RNA is filed under the name uncultured bacterium. RNAcentral's name for it is "partial 16S ribosomal RNA". It matches the Rfam family "Bacterial small subunit ribosomal RNA", at positions 524 to 776 of the family's 1533-position model. The record is from RNAcentral.